UUGGAAUGGACGUCUACGUCCAUUUGGGUAGCAGGCCCAUUGAAUGCAUAAGUGGCAGACAUAUUUGUGCAUUACAACGUGAGUUGGCAUCCUCGUCAUCAUCAUCAUCAGCACAAUCCGGCGAAUAAAGGAUGUAAACUGUUUUCGAGUCCAUCGGUGUGUCUGGAUGGGACGGGCUUUUGGGUCCUUUCAAGUGCUUCUCUUCACCUGUCUGCUGAAUGGUAAUAUGGUAUUUCAUCCCAUCCUCCCAUUGCUGCGUGUAUUUGCUUUGACCGGUGCAAUGAUUGCAACUUUUCAAUUUGUAUUUACAAAAGCGAAACAAUGCCGGGCAUAUAGAUGCGGCUACGACUGUAUGAAAUGAGCUUAACAAAUUUGAGCUGAAAACAAUGCGAAGUACGCAGAUUCGAGGGUGAUUUUAAAUCACUUUAGCCAAAAAUAAAUAUAUCAGUAAAUAACAAUA
This is a long non-coding RNA of Drosophila sechellia, 460 nucleotides long. RefSeq lists it as uncharacterized. The record is from RefSeq and is a predicted model, not a curated record. The transcript is spliced from 2 exons. Lineage: Eukaryota; Metazoa; Arthropoda; Insecta; Diptera; Drosophilidae.